This is a non-coding RNA of Benincasa hispida (wax gourd), 304 nucleotides long. NCBI's taxonomy places the organism in Eukaryota, Viridiplantae, Streptophyta, Magnoliopsida, Cucurbitales, Cucurbitaceae. The record is from RefSeq and is a predicted model, not a curated record.
UCGCAAAUAAUCUCUCCAUCCUCAUCUCUGUAGCAAAUCACACCAUUAGAACGAUCCUCGAAAACCUGCCAAAAUCAACUACACUGUUUGAACAGCAUAAAAGUCUUGCUUAGAGGUUUAGUUUGAAGAGAUGUAAUAGAUUUUCGGGGAAGAAGAGGAGAUCUGCAAUUUGUGGCUGCCAUUCGCUUCGAGCUUUAAAAAUAUGUUUUACGUAAAAUCAAACCUUCUUUCAAUAGAUUUUAAAGAAGAAAGCAUUGAAAUGUUGCAGAUUAUAAAAUUUUAUAGGUCCCAAUCAAUUUGCUUA